AUUGAACGCUGGCGGCAGGCCUAACACAUGCAAGUCGAGCGGAUGAAGGGAGCUUGCUCCUGGAUUCAGCGGCGGACGGGUGAGUAAUGCCUAGGAAUCUGCCUGGUAGUGGGGGAUAACGUCCGGAAACGGGCGCUAAUACCGCAUACGUCCUGAGGGAGAAAGUGGGGGAUCUUCGGACCUCACGCUAUCAGAUGAGCCUAGGUCGGAUUAGCUAGUUGGUGGGGUAAAGGCCUACCAAGGCGACGAUCCGUAACUGGUCUGAGAGGAUGAUCAGUCACACUGGAACUGAGACACGGUCCAGACUCCUACGGGAGGCAGCAGUGGGGAAUAUUGGACAAAGGGCGAAAGCCUGAUCCAGCCAUGCCGCGUGUGUGAAGAAGGUCUUCGGAUUGUAAAGCACUUUAAGUUGGAAGGAAGGGCAGUAAGUUAAUACCUUGCUGUUUUGACGUUACCAACAGAAUAAGCACCGGCUAACUUCGUG
This 484-nucleotide ribosomal RNA is filed under the name uncultured bacterium. Its description in RNAcentral is "partial 16S ribosomal RNA". It matches the Rfam family "Bacterial small subunit ribosomal RNA", at positions 30 to 507 of the family's 1533-position model. The record is from RNAcentral.